RNAcentral lists this small RNA (153 nucleotides) under Vicugna pacos (alpaca). Its description in RNAcentral is "7SK RNA (ENSVPAG00000017587.1)". Lineage: Eukaryota; Metazoa; Chordata; Mammalia; Artiodactyla; Camelidae. The record is from RNAcentral.
UCAUUUCCAAAGCUGUGAUUACUCAAAGAAGAUUCCCUUUUUAAGAUAGGACUGGAUUUCAGUCAGGAGUGUUAGGAAUAGGUGAACUUCCCACCUAGAACUUCUAAAAUGGACUGCCAGAUCUCUUCAUAGAAGACUGUAGGGUAGUCAGAC